GCCGCGGGACGACCCGUGGCCGAUACGCAACCGGCAGGACGACCUGC
RNAcentral lists this non-coding RNA (47 nucleotides) under Cupriavidus necator. Its description in RNAcentral is "Ralstonia eutropha Guanidine-II sequence". It matches the Rfam family "Guanidine-II riboswitch aptamer (mini-ykkC)". Rfam says of the family: Simpler in structure and has fewer highly conserved nucleotide positions than the ykkC-yxkD leader. Despite this each of its two stem-loop structures directly bind free guanidine. Therefore, mini-ykkC RNA motif represents a distinct class of guanidine-sensing RNAs. The record is from RNAcentral. RNAcentral also lists the same sequence under 1 other name. Lineage: Bacteria; Pseudomonadati; Pseudomonadota; Betaproteobacteria; Burkholderiales; Burkholderiaceae.